This 433-nucleotide ribosomal RNA is filed under the name uncultured soil bacterium. RNAcentral's name for it is "bacterial SSU rRNA". It matches the Rfam family "Bacterial small subunit ribosomal RNA", at positions 958 to 1391 of the family's 1533-position model. The record is from RNAcentral.
AACGCGAAGAACCUUACCUGGGUUUGACUUGCACGGGAAUCUACCAGAGAUGGUAGCGUCCUUCGGGACUCGUGCACAGGUGCUGCAAGGCUGUCGUCAGCUCGUGCCGUGAGGUGUUGGGUUAAGUCCCGCAACGAGCGCAACCCUUAUUUUUAGUUGCCAUCGGGUAAUGCCGGGCACUCUAGAGAGACUGCCUACGUAAGUAGGAGGAAGGUGGGGAUGACGUCAAGUCAGCAUGGCCCUUACGUCCAGGGCUACACACGUGCUACAAUGGCCGGUACAAAGGGCAGCCAACCCGCGAGGGGGAGCGAAUCUCAAAAAACCGGUCUCAGUUCGGAUUGUAGGCUGCAACUCGCCUACAUGAAGUCGGAAUCACUAGUAACCGCAGAUCAGCUACGCUGCGGUGAAUACGUUCCCGGGUCUUGUACACACC